UGUCAUGUCGUGUCAAUCAGUUCCUGUCUAACAGAACAUAACAAUAAAAUUAUUACGAAGACAUCCAAAAUCCAACCAAAACAGCCAAAAUAUGGAGCACCAGCGCCGCAGUAUGACCUAGAUCAAGAUGUGACCCCUCUCUUCACCAGCACCCCUCCACACACCCCAGUAUGAAGUACCGACGUCUGUUCCUGCUAGCAAUCCUCACAUUACUGCAGCUGUCCGUAAGUGGAGCGUGUCGCAAGAAGCGCACCUGCCCCCGCGGGCCGCCGCCCCCUGCGCCCGUGUGCGCCCCCGCCGCGCCCCCCUGCGCGCCCCCCGUCUGCCCCGGCGGCUGCCAGCCCACAUACAAGCAGUGAACACACUCAGCAUGCGCAAGCUCUAUCUGGUGCUCCUCGUCUUCCUCACUUGGCUCGCGUGCUGCAAGAUCAAGCCGGAGAUGCAGAAGAAGGUGUACUGCCGCAAGCCGCGCGGCCAGCUGCCCGGCUGCAACUACAUGCGGCCCCGGACUGACGGCAAGUGACCCCCCUGCGUGCGACACGUGCCCCCCCCUGCGUGCGCCCCUGGCAACGGCUAGAGACACCCGACACUGACGGCAAGUGACCCCCGACUGCAAGUGCCCCCGGACGCUCGGCUAGUGACCCCAAGAGCAACUAAAUGCAGCUCGGCAAUCUUGAGCUAUAAAUUAAAUUUAAUAAAGAGUACAAUCUAAAUCUG
Molecule: long non-coding RNA, 717 nt
Organism: Plutella xylostella (diamondback moth)
Lineage: Eukaryota; Metazoa; Arthropoda; Insecta; Lepidoptera; Plutellidae
Source: RefSeq, a predicted model, not a curated record